Molecule: ribosomal RNA, 550 nt
Filed under: Enterobacter cloacae
Lineage: Bacteria; Pseudomonadati; Pseudomonadota; Gammaproteobacteria; Enterobacterales; Enterobacteriaceae
Description: bacterial LSU rRNA
Rfam family: Bacterial large subunit ribosomal RNA
Source: RNAcentral
GGGUUGUGAGGUUAAGCGACUAAGCGUACACGGUGGAUGCCCUGGCAGUCAGAGGCGAUGAAGGACGUGCUAAUCUGCGAAAAGCGCCGGCGAGGUGAUAUGAACCUUUGACCCGGCGAUGUCCGAAUGGGGAAACCCAGUGUGAUUCGUCACACUAUCGUUAACUGAAUACAUAGGUUAACGAGGCGAACCGGGGGAACUGAAACAUCUAAGUACCCCGAGGAAAAGAAAUCAACCGAGAUUCCCCCAGUAGCGGCGAGCGAACGGGGAGCAGCCCGGAGUCUGAAUCAGCUUGUGUGUUAGUGGAACGGUCUGGAAAGUCCGACGGUACAGGGUGAUAGUCCCGUACACGAAAAUGCACAGGUUGUGAACUCGAAGAGUAGGGCGGGACACGUGGUAUCCUGUCUGAAUAUGGGGGGACCAUCCUCCAAGGCUAAAUACUCCUGACUGACCGAUAGUGAACCAGUACCGUGAGGGAAAGGCGAAAAGAACCCCGGCGAGGGGAGUGAAAAAGAACCUGAAACCGUGUACGUACAAGCAGUGGGAGCCU